GGCGUCCGAGUUGUAAUUUGUAGAGGAUGCUAUUGGGUUGCCACCGGUCUAAGUUCCUUGGAACAGGACGUCACAGAGGGUGAGAAUCCCGUAUGUGACCGGCCAGGCGCCUUCUGUAUAGCUCCUUCGACGAGUCGGGUUGUUUGGGAAUGCAGCCCUAAAUGGGAGGUAAAUUUCUUCUAAAGCUAAAUACCGGCCAGAGACCGAUAGCGCACAAGUAGAGUGAUCGAAAGAUGAAAAGCACUUUGGAAAGAGAGUUAAAAAGCACGUGAAAUUGUUGAAAGGGAAGCGCUUGCAAUCAGUCUCGACGGCGGCUGUUCGGCCUCUCUUCUGAGUGGUUUAUUCAGUCGCCGCCGGGCCAGCAUCAGUUUUGGCGGUCGGAUAAAGGCGCGGGGAAUGUAGCUCCUCCGGGAGUGUUAUAGCCCCGCGUGCAAUACGGCCCGCCGGGACUGAGGUCCGCGCUUCGGCUAGGAUGCUGGCGAAAUGGUUGUAAGCGGCCCGUCUUGAAACACGGACCAAGGAGUCUAACAUCUACGCGAGUGUUUGGGUGUCAAACCCGUGCGCGCAAUGAAAGUGAACGGAGGUGGGAACCGCAAGGUGCACCAUCGACCGAUCCUGAUGUCGUCGGAUGGAUUUGAGUAAGAGCGUAGCUGUUGGGACCCGAAAGAUGGUGAACUAUGCCUGAAUAGGGUGAAGCCAGAGGAAACUCUGGUGGAGGCUCGCAGCGGUUCUGACG
Molecule: ribosomal RNA, 736 nt
Filed under: Elsinoe tanashiensis
Lineage: Eukaryota; Fungi; Ascomycota; Dothideomycetes; Myriangiales; Elsinoaceae
Description: Elsinoe sp. AHU-2023c partial large subunit ribosomal RNA
Rfam family: Eukaryotic large subunit ribosomal RNA
Source: RNAcentral